GAACUAAAGAGUUUGAUCCUGGCUCAGAUUGAACGCUGGCGGCAUGCUUUACACAUGCAAGUCGAACGGUAACAGGCCGCAAGGUGCUGACGAGUGGCGAACGGGUGAGUAAUGCAUCGGAACGUGCCCA
This 130-nucleotide ribosomal RNA is filed under the name Hydrogenophaga sp. RNAcentral's name for it is "partial 16S ribosomal RNA". It matches the Rfam family "Bacterial small subunit ribosomal RNA", at positions 1 to 132 of the family's 1533-position model. The record is from RNAcentral. Lineage: Bacteria; Pseudomonadati; Pseudomonadota; Betaproteobacteria; Burkholderiales; Comamonadaceae.